GUAUCCGUGGCCUAAUGGAUAAGGCGUCUCUGACUUCUAGUCAGGCGAUUGUGGGUUCGAGUCCCACCGUGUAUG
This 75-nucleotide transfer RNA is filed under the name Nelumbo nucifera (sacred lotus). It matches the Rfam family "tRNA". From Rfam's summary of the family: Transfer RNA (tRNA) molecules are approximately 80 nucleotides in length. Lineage: Eukaryota; Viridiplantae; Streptophyta; Magnoliopsida; Proteales; Nelumbonaceae. The record is from Rfam by way of RNAcentral.